This is a long non-coding RNA of Mauremys mutica (yellowpond turtle), 879 nucleotides long. RefSeq lists it as uncharacterized. The transcript is spliced from 3 exons. NCBI's taxonomy places the organism in Eukaryota, Metazoa, Chordata, Testudines, Geoemydidae. The record is from RefSeq and is a predicted model, not a curated record.
AUCAAAAGGCUGAUCAUCAUUCCUGGGCCAAACCAUCUGUCACAUUUGGCAUCAAGACUAUCCAGUGAUCUGGAAGCAAAUGUAAAAUCACUGCAGAGAAAAUUCGUGGAUGAAUCAAAGAUUGGCUGAAUGGUAAAUAAUGAUGAGGACAAGGAAGCAAUAUUGUCACUGAAAACAUGAGGCCUGAACACGUGCUUUGCCUGUUGCUGAGCUGCUUUCCGCUACCCAAAGCGGCCUGUAAGCCCUUGAAAGCCGACUGCACUCUUGUCAAAUGUAGCCCAUGCCCUGACCAACACACAGCGGUGCCUUCGGAGAAUAACUGCUGUGCUACAUGUGCCCCUCCAUGUUCCUGUCCAGAUUACCAGCAAUUGGAAUGCGCCAUGCAAGGCUACGAGGAUGGAAACGUCCCUGUGGGGAAAUCUUUCCACAUAAACUUUGCCACUGAACUUUGCACCUGUGUUUCUACAGGGAAUAUCUCCUGCACUUCAGUUUGCCCCACGGUUUCACCUACGUGCAAGGAGACCGGAAGCCCUCCUGAUGGCUGUCCCCAGUGCGUAUGUCCCAUUGACAAUGACAGAAUCGUAGUUGCUGGCAGCACCAUCCCCAGGGACAGUGAGAUUUGUGUAUGUCCCCCUGAGGGAGGCAAACUAUUCUGCACCUCAACCACACCUUAGCUCACUACAGUCUACCAAUGAAUAGGCUCUGUUCUCCAAGUAAGCUAAGUAUUGCAGGAGGGCAAAGCGUUUUGUUAUUAGACUAUAAGAGAACUCCCAUUGUAUCUUUGGGCACCCUUAUGGAAAAUCCUAUAGAAUGUACAAGAAAAUAAUUAUCUUGCUAUAGGUGUUUCAAACUCUCCUAUAAAAUGGAAUAGUGAAGUAU